Molecule: long non-coding RNA, 398 nt
Filed under: Vulpes vulpes (red fox)
Lineage: Eukaryota; Metazoa; Chordata; Mammalia; Carnivora; Canidae
Description: lncRNA (ENSVVUG00000017629.1)
Source: RNAcentral
CGCCACCCACACUGCGCACCGGGGGCAGAUGCGAGCUGUGGGCUGGGGCACUGAAAUACGGAAGGUCGAAGCUGUUGGAAAACUGGCCAGAAUCUCAUCCACGGAUUGGGAUUCUCCCUGGAAGAGGGAGAAUGUAGCGCCACACAGCGCGCCCAGCCCUUCAGGCUCUGGACUCAGUGCAGUGGAGCUCCCAGGAAGUCACUAAGGCCGCGUCCUCCUCCUGCGCUUCCAUUGCGGAUCAGCUGAGAUAACCCAAUACCCACCUCUGACUCUUUCAAUCAAUGGCUUCAAUAUCUCAUUAUUUUGAGCUGGUAUUUUCUUGUGGUCAAGUACAACGAGGUAUUAUCUAUCUAUUGCCAAUUAUUUCUGAAUCGGAUCCUACUUAAAAUUGUUCUUUU